CCCGCGCUCCUCCGGGCAGAGCGCGUGUGGCGGCCGAGCACAUGGGCCCGCGGGCCGGGCGGGCUCGGGGCGGCCGGGACGAGGAGGGGCGACGACGAGCUGCGAGCAAAGAUGUGCCCCGGGACCCCCGGCACCUUCCAGUGGAUUUCCUUGCGGAAAGGAUGUUGGCGGUCCCUGUGACCUGUGGAGACACGGCCAGAUCUGCCCUCCAGCCUGAUCUUUUGGCCAGAAGGAGAUUAAAAAGAUGCCCCUCAAGAUGGCUGUGCCUGUCAGCUGCAUGGAGCUUCGUUCAAGUAUUUUCUGAGCCUGAUGGAUUUACAGUGAUCUUCAGUGGUCUGGGGAAUAACGCUGGUGGAACCAUGCACUGGAAUGACACACGCCCGGCACAUUUCAGGAUACUAAAAGUGGUUUUAAGGGAGGCUGUGGCUGAAUGCCUCAUGGAUUCUUACAGCUUGGAUGUCCAUGGGGGACGAAGGACUGCAGCUGGCUGAGAGGGUUGAGAUCUCUGUUUACUUAGAUCUCUGCCAACUUCCUUUGGGUCUCCCUAUGGAAUGUAAGACCCCGACUCUUCCUGGUGAAGCAUCUGAUGCACGUUCCAUCCGGCGCUCAGCUGGGCUUGAGAGUCUCACUCUGUGGUCCAGGCUGAAGUACAGUGGCAUGAUCCCAGGUCACUGCAACCCCCACCUCCCGGGUUCAAGUGAUCCUCCUGCCUCAGCCUCCCGAGUAGCUGGUAUUACAGGCGUGUGCCACAAAGCCUGGCUAAGUUUUGUAUUUUUAGUAGAGACGGGGUUUCACCAUGUUGGCCAGGUUGGUCUCGAACUCCUGACCUCAAGUGAUCCACUCACUUUGGCCUUUCAACGUGCUGGGAUUACAGGCGAGAGUCACCGCACCCGGACGACUCUGACAUUUUUGAAGAGUCCAGAAUCCUGUUACACCUGGGAUUUAGGCACUUUCAAUCUGAAAAAAUACAUAUCCUUUCAGCACUCUGGACGGACUUGAGAACUGUCCUUACGUGACCUAAAGCUGGAGUAUUUUGAGAUUGGAGAAUUAAGAAGGAAGUCACUGUGCAUAGCCAUCCCCUAAGAAGAGGGCAUUCCUGCUCUUCCUUCUCCAUGGCUAGAGGAUCUACAUGAACUAUUUAGAUUUUUUCUACCUGGGAGAUUUAACUCCUCUCUCCUAUUUAUUUAUUUAUAUAUCAGCAUGGACUUGCAGGCCAACAGAGAUUUUGAGAAACACAUUGAAGGAUCUGUUAACACUUGAUAUACCCAAUAAAAGCAGUGGUUGUGCCAGUGCUGAUCUGUCUUGAUGUGAAUGUGAACAAUGGGAACCUGAGCUGAGCAGUUAAUGCUAGGGUGACAGAAACUGGACCUCUCCCAAGACAUGUGACAGAGUAAUACAGCAGCCAACUUCUUCGCCAAAUUAAAGUUUUACAAGAUUUAACCUGUCAUCAAGACCUGGGAUUUUGGUGAGCCAGUCUUGGUGCUCUGUGUUCACCUGGUUCAUCUGAGGAGCUGCAUCUACCCUGCCCAUGCCAUAGAUCCUGCCCUGUUUGCUUCUCCUGUUGCUGCUAGUGGACAUGAGAAGGACAGAAUAACGGGCUCCCAGAUUCACAAGCCCCACCAAGAGGAUCACCCCAGGAACGCUUGGAGGCUGAGGAGUUCACUGAGGCUACUGCAUCUUGAGACUCAGGAUGAAGACCCAGCUUGGGGCUGUCAAAGGUUUUUUGCAUGUCUGACACCCAUGACUCCACCUGGACCUUAUGGCUCCACCCAGAAGCAAUUCAGCCCAACAGGAGGACAGCUUCAACCCAUUACGAUUUCAUCUCUGCCCCAACCACUCAGCAGCAAGCACCUGUUACCUGUCCACCCCCACCCCUUCCCCCAAACUGCCUUUGAAAAAUCCCUAACCUAUGAGCUUUGAAUAAGAUGAGUACGAACUUCAUCGCCCACGUGGCGUGGCCGGCCUCGUGUCUAUUAAAUUCUUUUUCUACUACAA
Molecule: long non-coding RNA, 1995 nt
Filed under: Homo sapiens (human)
Lineage: Eukaryota; Metazoa; Chordata; Mammalia; Primates; Hominidae
Description: Pvt1 oncogene, transcript variant 45 (PVT1)
Rfam family: Pvt1 oncogene conserved region 1 (bases 34-211)
Source: RNAcentral